AUUACCAAUUCAUCUAAAAUGGAAGAGUGCAAGCAAGUAGAAAAGUACGGUUUGUGCUAUGCUGUGGUGCUCUGAUGCAUAUUUUUCAUCACAUAACAAGGGGCAUCCUUCAGAGACCAGGCUGUCACACUUGUACAAUCUCUGUCAGACUCCAAUGUUGAAAAAGCUAUGCCAACUCUUGUGCCUGGGACCAUUCAGGAAUGGUCAUACCUUUGAACAGAAUCAUACCUUUGAGCAGAGGGCUGGAUGCAUCCUGGGAAAUUCCCCACCUGACCAGUCUAAUGUACUCAUCUUAUAAAUGGAACCUGUCCUCCCUUCAUUACAUCUUGACUGAGUAGAACACCACUACGUUCAAUUAUGGAAUAAACAGACACAGAAAUCAGUGCCUCUCUUCCAAGAGACAUAAAUGUAAUUUAAAAUAAAUAUUUACAGCAAUGUUAGCGAAGCAACCAGUUCAUUUUAUGUCCUAACCUGUCCUCCAAGAACACUGCAUCUCAAUAUAUUCAUAUCUUAAUUUAAUUCUCAGAUUAUUUGGAGCUUGAUUU
Acinonyx jubatus (cheetah) is the source of this 545-nucleotide long non-coding RNA. RefSeq lists it as uncharacterized. The transcript is spliced from 3 exons. Lineage: Eukaryota; Metazoa; Chordata; Mammalia; Carnivora; Felidae. The record is from RefSeq and is a predicted model, not a curated record.